RNAcentral lists this long non-coding RNA (444 nucleotides) under Brassica napus (rape). RNAcentral's name for it is "long non-coding RNA (BNAP_LNC018201)". The record is from RNAcentral. Lineage: Eukaryota; Viridiplantae; Streptophyta; Magnoliopsida; Brassicales; Brassicaceae.
UUAAGUUCAUUCAGUUCAAAUAGGGUUUGUAGUUGGCUUCAAAGACUGAGUUUCAGCAAUCAACAAGUUUCAGGAAGAGUUUUCAAGGCUCGAAACAUACAAGUAUUUUUGAGAGGUGCAAAAGCUACUCAGGUGCAACGUAGUGUUCUUUACAAGGCGUUUAAAAUCAUUUCUCCCAAUGCAAGUGAAUGCAACCUAUAUGCUCUAGACUCUCCUAAAAAUGCAAGUGAUGCAAUCUAUAUGAUUUGUUUUUUUUUUUUUUAAAUAUGCAAAUAGGUAUGCAAUGCAUGACUCAAUGAACAACAUCAAAGCAAACAUGAUCAAAUACUUGGUACCUCCCCCAAACUUAAAUGACACAGUCUCUGUGUUGUCAAGUAGAGAGAGAUACCCAAAAGAGAAAGCUAAUAUGCAAAAAUGAAAUGGUAUAUACAAGGGAAAGUAGAG